UGCGUAGGCGGAUUAAUAAGUCAGUGGUGAAAACCUGCAGCUUAACUGUAGGCUUGCCAUUGAUACUGUUAGUCUUGAGUACGGUCAAGGUAGGCGGAAUGUGUAAUGUAGCGGUGAAAUGCUUAGAUAUUACACAGAACACCGAUUGCGAAGGCAGCUUACUGGACCAUUACUGACGCUGAGGCACGAAAGCGUGGGGAGCAAACAGGAUUAGAUACCCUGGUAGUCC
This 229-nucleotide ribosomal RNA is filed under the name uncultured bacterium. RNAcentral's name for it is "partial 16S ribosomal RNA". It matches the Rfam family "Bacterial small subunit ribosomal RNA", at positions 568 to 796 of the family's 1533-position model. The record is from RNAcentral.